This 207-nucleotide ribosomal RNA is filed under the name uncultured Enterobacteriaceae bacterium. Its description in RNAcentral is "partial 16S ribosomal RNA". It matches the Rfam family "Bacterial small subunit ribosomal RNA", at positions 284 to 498 of the family's 1533-position model. Lineage: Bacteria; Pseudomonadati; Pseudomonadota; Gammaproteobacteria; Enterobacterales; Enterobacteriaceae. The record is from RNAcentral.
CGCCGCGCGCGGCGGGCGGGGCGGGGGCACGGGGGACCUACGGGAGGCAGCAGUGGGGAAUAUUGCACAAUGGGCGCAAGCCUGAUGCAGCCAUGCCGCGUGUAUGAAGAAGGCCUUCGGGUUGUAAAGCACCUUUUUAGCGGGGAGGAAGGCGAUAAGGUUAAUAACCCGUGUUCGGUUGACGUUACCCGCAGAAGUAGCACGUCU